This 307-nucleotide long non-coding RNA is filed under the name Mytilus galloprovincialis (Mediterranean mussel). The record is from RNAcentral. Lineage: Eukaryota; Metazoa; Mollusca; Bivalvia; Mytilida; Mytilidae.
UGGUGCUUUCUUUUUUUUCAAUCGUUCGUAAUCUUCAUCAUAGAUGGUCGAAUCUCUCUUUUGAAUUGCAUCCCUUGCAGCCAUAGAUGGAGCCAUUUGAUGAAAAUACACUUGAUUGUUUACUUUGUGCGAAAUGUUGUUUAACGUCAACAGGAUGUAUAUUAGUAUAAUUAUGAAUAUGAUUGACACGAAAACUUCUAAACAACUUAAAAUGAAAUCCACAUGAUAUCGAUCAAUUAAUGUGAGUAUAAAAUCUGUUGCAGUUUUAUCUUCCAUGUUAUUACUAUCGGUAUCGUUUCCAUUAACG